AAUGGUGAGUAAUCGCGGCUCAUGUUUACAUGAGUUGAGGAAAGUCCAGGCUCGCCCGGUGCUGAGAUGCCCGGAGUGUUCGUGCCAUCUGCAAAGAUGGGCAGCAGACUUCUUGUCUGUUGACGGCGGAGAAAUCAUGCUAAGUCCAAUACGGAUACGCUGAGAGUACCCUGAAAGUGCCACAGAGACGAUACUCUUCUGGAAACGGAAGAGGUGGAACGGGUAAACCCCACGAGCGAGCAACCCAAACUUUGGUAGGGGCACCAUCCUGCGGGAAUUGAACC
RNAcentral lists this unclassified non-coding RNA (284 nucleotides) under Mesobacillus persicus. RNAcentral's name for it is "Bacillus persicus Bacterial RNase P class B". It matches the Rfam family "Bacterial RNase P class B", at positions 1 to 279 of the family's 365-position model. From Rfam's summary of the family: Ribonuclease P (RNase P) is a ubiquitous endoribonuclease, found in archaea, bacteria and eukarya as well as chloroplasts and mitochondria. Its best characterised activity is the generation of mature 5'-ends of tRNAs by cleaving the 5'-leader elements of precursor-tRNAs. Lineage: Bacteria; Bacillati; Bacillota; Bacilli; Caryophanales; Bacillaceae. The record is from RNAcentral.